RNAcentral lists this ribosomal RNA (647 nucleotides) under Polypedilum miagense. RNAcentral describes it as "partial 28S ribosomal RNA". Lineage: Eukaryota; Metazoa; Arthropoda; Insecta; Diptera; Chironomidae. The record is from RNAcentral.
CCAAAUAUCUAAACGGAGAAAUUCAAUAUUAACCGCAAGGUAUAAUGUGCACUUUUCUCUUAGUAAGACGCCGUGAUUCAUUAGAAAUUGAUGUACGCCAAGUGCAUAGUGGGUCAUCAAUAGGCCAGUAUGAAGUUUAUUGGAACAAAUGGCAUGAUCUUUAACGGUUGUGUGUAUUGUCUGGUAAGCAUGCUGUGUCCUGCAAUGACUGUCUGAUGAGUUUUAAAGAUUUGCCAUUAACAAUGUCUUGUGCAUUGGCGCUUGUCGCAUGUAAUGGAURUAUCUGAUCGACGGCGGUUAAAUUUGGGAUACCUUUUGGACCCGUCUUGAAACACGGACCAAGGAGUCUAUCUAGUAUGCGAGUAAAUGGAUAAUUGAUGAAAUCUAUUUGCGUAAUAAACUUGACUGUUGUGGGAUUACGAUUUGUAAUUCACGUUACAUUUCUUCCUUCCCGGGGUAUUUUCAUCCACAUAUAUGCAAAUAUAUGGAAAAUAUACCAUGAGCACACUGGAUACGACCCGAAAGAUGGUGAACUAUGCCUGAUCAGGUCGAAGUCAGGGGAAACCCUGAUGGAGGACCGAAGCAGUUCUGACGUGCAAAUCGAUUGUCAGAAUUGGGCAUAGGGGCGAAAGACCAAUCGAACCAUC